This 30-nucleotide small RNA is filed under the name Bombyx mori (domestic silkworm). Its description in RNAcentral is "ovarian small RNA-25438". The record is from RNAcentral. Lineage: Eukaryota; Metazoa; Arthropoda; Insecta; Lepidoptera; Bombycidae.
UCACUGCUGAUAUCCGGGAAAUGUUCCCUC